CUAAAUAAACGGGCCUCGAUCCCGUAAAAUAUUAAUUAACAACUAACCGCUCUAUCCAGCGAGCUUUUAUCUA
RNAcentral lists this transfer RNA (73 nucleotides) under Xenosaurus grandis. RNAcentral describes it as "tRNA-Asn". Lineage: Eukaryota; Metazoa; Chordata; Lepidosauria; Squamata; Xenosauridae. The record is from RNAcentral.